ACGGGAGAUUUAAAGGGCGUAUGGUGGAUGCCUUGGUUCAAUGUGGCGAUGAAGGACGUGGUGUAACUGCGAUAAGCUUCGGGGAGGUGUUAAGCAACCUUUGAUCCGGAGAUUUCCGAAUGGGGAAACCCUAUCGAGUAACCCUCGAUAAUCUCAUAGCAAUAUGAGGAGCAUACCUGGGGAAGUGAAACAUCUCAGUACCCAGUGGAAAAGAAAACAAUUGUCAUUCCCUUAGUAGCGGCGAGCGAAACGGGAGAAGCCCAAACCGUGCGCAUCACAUUGGAUGUGAUGGGUAAGCACAAAGCUUAAAGUACAAAGCUCAAAAAAGUUUUUAAGAAUUAAAAUCUUAGAAUUUUUUUGGAUUUUGAACUUUGGAUUUUGGAUUUACGCAUCGCGUACAGCGUGAUGCGUGCGGGGUUGUAGGGCGGUAACGCCUGUCUUCGGAUAAGGAGAAAGUUACAAAAUGUGUUCUUAGCAGAAUGCGCUGGAAAGCGCGACCCUAGAGGGUAAUAGUCCUGUAUGCGAAAAGAACACAUCUUUCUAGUUACCGUUCCUGAGUACCUCAGGACACGAAUAGCCUGAGGGAAUCCGCCGGAACUAACCGGCAAGGCUACAUACACAUUGAGACCGAUAGUGAACUAGUACCGCGAGGGAAAGGUGAAAAGAACCCCGGAGAGGGGAGUGAAAUAGAUCUGAAACCAUAUGCCUACAAGGAGUCAGCGCGGUCGCAAGACCGUCAUGGCGUGCCUAUUGAAGAAUGAGCCAACGAGUUUAUGCACACGGCGUAAGAUAAGUCCUUUGUCGGAUGAAUCUGUAGGGAAACCGAGUGUGAAUAGCGCGAACAUAGUAGAAGUUAGAAGUCAGGCGAAAAGGUACUUCGGUAUCUUCGAGUCUGGCCUCCAACUUCUACUUUUAGUCGUCUGCAUAAGACCCGAAGCUAGGUGAGCUACCCAUGAGCAGGGUGAACUCUGUCGAAAGAUGGAGGGAGGCCCGAACCGGUUGAUGGUGCAAAAUCUUCGGAUGACUUGUGGGUUGGAGUGAAAAGCUUAUCGAACCUAGUAAUAGCUGGUUCUCUCCGAAACAGCUUUUGGGCUGGCGUCUAACGUACCUCUUGGGGGUAGAGCACUGGAUGGUCUGGAUAGGGAGAAAUCUCGCUGGACCAAUCAAACUCCGAAUACCAAGAGUAAAGUGUUAGGCAGUUAGACCGUGGGGGCUAAGCUCCACUGGUCAAAAGGGAAACAGCCCUUGAUCUCAAGUUAAGGUCCCAAAAUCAAUGCUAAGUGCACAGUCGAGGAGGUGAAGUUUCUUAAACACUGAGGAAGUUGGCUUAGAAGCAGCCAUCUUUUAAAGAAAGCGUAACAGCUCACUCAUUUAGAGACUUCGCGCCACAGACAAUCGGGGCUAAGCAUUGUACCGAAACUGAGGAUUGUAUGUGCAUUCGUGCAUGUGCAGUGGUAGGAGAGCAUUUGGAUCUGCGAUGAAGCCGAAGGCGUGAGCCACGGUGGAGCGUUCCGAAGAGCGAAUGUUGGUACAAGUAACCGCAAUGCGGGUGAAAUACCCGCACGCCGAAAGAACAAGGUUUCCUUCGCGAUGGUAAUCAGCGAAGGGUUAGUCGGGCCUAAGUGGAUGGAGAAAUCCGAACAUGAUGGACACAUGGUUAAUAUUCCAUGACCUGGGUGUAUUUCGAUGGAGAGACGGAGUGCUGUAUAUAUCGCACAUUAUUGGAUUUGUGUCGGGGACACGAGGGCGCUUGUUAGGUAAAUCCGGCAGGCACUAUCCCGAGUGUUUUCGAGAACUCAACUUUCGGGUUGGGGAAUGGUAUAGAGCGCGCUUCCAAGAAAAUCUUCUAAGAAUAAAUACACACAGACCGUACCGCAAACCGACUCCGGUGUUCAGCUCGAGUAGAGUAAGGCGAACGAGUGAGAGGUCCUCAAGGAACUCGGCAAAAAAGCGACCGUAAGUUAGCAAUAAGGUCUGCCCACGUAGCAGUACGUGGGCCGCAGCGAAAGUCUCCCUGGCGACUGUUUAUCAAAAACACAGCUCCCUGCGAACUCGCAAGAGGAUGUAUAGGGGGUGACACCUGACCAAUGCCAGAAGGUCAAGUACGGGGGGUGUGUGCCGCAAGGUAUAUGCUGAACUGUAUAAGCCCUGGUGAAUGUCGGCCGUAACUAUAACGGUCCUAAGGUAGCGCAAUUCCUUGUCAGGUAAGUUCUGACGCGCACGAAUGGUGUAACGACUGGGGAACUGUCUCGAGGACUCGCUCGGUGAAAAUACAAUGGGGGUGAAGAUGCCCUCUACCUGCAGCUAGACGAAAAGACCCCAGAAGCUUUACUACAGCUUGAUAUUGGGCGUACGAGUUAAAUGCGUAGCAUAGGUGGGAGAGGUUGAAGGCAGGGUUUUGGCUCUGCUGGACUCGAAAUAUGAAAUACCACUCUUUUGAAUUGUACGUUCUAACCCUGACGGCAAAAACGGUAGGGAACAGUAUCUGGCAGGUAGUUUGUUUGGGGCGAAUCCCUCCUAAAAAGUAACGGAGGGGUCUAUAAAGGUCCUCUAGGCGCGAAUGGAAACCGUGCCGAUAGUGUAAUGGCAAAAGAGGGCUUAACUGCAAGACGGACAUGUCGAGCAGGUACGAAAGUAGAGCAUAGUGAUCCGACCUUUCGCUUUAGAUGCGGGGGGAGCUCAACGGAUAAAAGCUACUCUGGGGAUAACAGGCUGGUACCACCCGAGCGUCCAUAGCGACGGUGGUGUUCGGCACCUCGAUGUCGGCUCACCUUAUCCCGGGGCUGGAGAAGGUCCCAAGGGUAUGGCUGUUCGCCAUUUAAAAAGGUACGCGAGCUGGGUUCAGACCGUUCUGGAACUGAAAUCAAAAGCUCAAAGCACAAAGCUCAAAAAAGUUUUUUAAGAUUUAAACCUUAGAAUUUUUUUGGAUUUUGAACUUUGGAUUUUGUGAUUGGUUUCAAAACAGUCUGAAUCCCUUCGAAGUAAUGUUGUCUAAUAAAACUUCCGAUUUUAAAAUGAAAUCGGUUGCCCAAAAAAUCUUUUCGUCUUUUAAGAUGAAAACUAAAAGGAACCAAUCAUAUCACGGCGGUCAUACAUAGUAAUGUGUAUGAAGUAAGUUGACUUAUAUCGGGAAAACCCUUUAUGGGUAAUUCCGAGGGAAUGAUUGUGAGUUCUAUUGAGGACAUUUCUGUCCAGAAAGGAGGUUCUUUCAUGCCGGGAUUUCUUCCUGCGUGCAGUCGUCGAGACUUCUUCGUUCACCCUACCAAGGAAGAAAUGAGGAACGUCGAUCGCGACAUCAAGAUCGCGCUCAGCGUCUUGGUCUUUUUCGCCAGCUACAUGCUGACGAGCUGGAUCAUCUGACUCGAUCAGAAAGUUCCGGGCUGACCCUGCGUCGGCCCCUCAAUAGAAUUCACAAUUACCCGUAGAGACUACAUGUCAACAUGCCUUCUGCGAUGCAGAAGAAAAUCCAAAGCACAAAGCACAAAAUCCAAAAUUUUGAGCUUUGAAAUUUGAACUUUGGGUUUACUCGCAAAGCGAGGUAUAAGGUAUAGUCCAAUGCAACGAGCAAUCGUUGGAAACAUGCGUGAGACAGGUUGGUCUCCUAUCUGCUGCAGGCGCUGAUUUUUGAGAAGAUUCGUUCCUAGUACGAGAGGACCGGAAUGAACUGACCUCUGGUGUGGCAGCUGUACCGCCAGGUGCACCGCUGCGUAGCUAUGUCGGGAAUGGAUAACCUCUGAAAGCAUCUAAGAGGGAAGCCAACUUCAAGAUUAGAAAUCAUUAAGACCCGUGAGAGAUGAUCACGUUGAUAGGCAUUAGGUGGACGCACAGUAAUGUGUGGAGCCGAGAUGUACUAAUUCGUCGACAUCUCCUGUUA
Molecule: ribosomal RNA, 3874 nt
Filed under: Candidatus Campbelliibacteriota bacterium
Lineage: Bacteria; Candidatus Campbelliibacteriota
Description: Candidatus Campbellbacteria bacterium 23S ribosomal RNA
Rfam family: Bacterial large subunit ribosomal RNA (bases 1-2929)
Source: RNAcentral